GCAUUGGUGGUUCAGUGGUAGAAUUCUCGACUUUUAUGCAGAAGACCUGGGUUCGAUUCCCAGCCAAUGCA
This is a transfer RNA of Loxodonta africana (African savanna elephant), 71 nucleotides long. It matches the Rfam family "tRNA". Rfam says of the family: Transfer RNA (tRNA) molecules are approximately 80 nucleotides in length. The record is from Rfam. Lineage: Eukaryota; Metazoa; Chordata; Mammalia; Proboscidea; Elephantidae.